This 658-nucleotide long non-coding RNA is filed under the name Trifolium pratense (red clover). RNAcentral describes it as "long non-coding RNA (TPRA_LNC011555)". Lineage: Eukaryota; Viridiplantae; Streptophyta; Magnoliopsida; Fabales; Fabaceae. The record is from RNAcentral.
CUGUGAAUGAAUUCUUAUGUUUAGUAAGUUUUUUAUUAUAUUUGACCUCUUUAAUUACUUAGCGUCUUUUUGUAAAAAAAAAUUAAAAAAUUACUUAGUGUCUUGAAGCGACAUAAACAACACAUUGAUGUACUUGAGAGGCAGUUAACAACGAUUCGUAUUUUAAGAAAUAUUUUUUGCAAAUGCCUAAACUAAAAAAUUAUAAUGUGAUAAAAUUAAAUUCUCUUUGCAGGGGAAAAUAAGUAAAAUUGUCAAAUUUGUUGUUACAAUGAAUGUACGUUGGCGGUAAUAAUUUGCAUAUAAAAUAUGAUGUUCAUACCAACUGAACUAAGUUCUUAUGGACACUUUGUACAAAAUAUUUUAUUCUCUUAUUCUUUACAUCGGGUAUUAAAUGCUUGCAAUAUUUUUUUUUCUUCGUCAAGUAGCCUAGUGACUAGAAAAUUCACCUUAAAAGUGAAUAAGUGAAGUGUCCGAGUUUGACCCCGACUCGUACACAUAUAUUGCUAUAUCUCUGUGAAGCUCACGGGUACAAUACUUACAAUAUUCUGAUUGUCCACAAAAUUGGUGUCUUCUUCCUUUUAAUCGAGGUGUAUUUAUAAUUGGUCUAUAGUAUGUGGUAAAAAAAUAAUGAAUUCUUAUGAUUGAUAUGUUUUUUUUA